Molecule: transfer RNA, 73 nt
Filed under: Caudoviricetes sp.
Lineage: Duplodnaviria; Heunggongvirae; Uroviricota; Caudoviricetes
Description: tRNA-Lys
Rfam family: tRNA
About the family: Transfer RNA (tRNA) molecules are approximately 80 nucleotides in length.
Source: RNAcentral
GUGUCUGUAGCUCAGUUGGCAGAGCAACGGAUUUUUAAUCCGUGGGCCGCGAGUUCGAACCUCGCCGGACGAA